Molecule: ribosomal RNA, 502 nt
Filed under: uncultured bacterium
Lineage: Bacteria
Description: partial 16S ribosomal RNA
Rfam family: Bacterial small subunit ribosomal RNA
Source: RNAcentral
AUUGAACGCUGGCGGCAGGCUUAACACAUGCAAGUCGAGCGGGGUGAUGGUGCUUGCACUAUCACUUAGCGGCGGACGGGUGAGUAAUGCUAGGAAUCUGCCUAUUAGUGGGGGACAACAUCUCGAAAGGGAUGCUAAUACCGCAUACGUCCUACGGGAGAAAGCAGGGGAUCACUUGUGACCUUGCGCUAAUAGAUGAGCCUAAGUCGAAUUAGCUAGUUGGUGGGGUAAAGGCCUACCAAGGCGACGAUCUGUAGCGGGUGUGAGAGGAUGAUCCGCAACACCGGAACUGAGACACGGCCCAGACUCCUCCGGGAGGCAGCAGUGGGGAAUAAUGGACAAUGGGGGGAACCCGGAUCCAGCCAUGCCGCGUGUGUGAAGAAGGCCUUAUGGUUGUAAAGCACUUUAAGCGAGGAGGAGGCUCUUUUGGUUAAUACCCAAGAUGAGUGGACGUUACUCGCAGAAUAAGCACCGGCUAACUCUGUGCCAGCCGCCGCAGUAA